GACGAACGCUGGCGGCGUGCUUAACACAUGCCAGUCGAACGGAAAGGCCCUGCUUUUGUGGGAUGCUCGAGGGGCGAACGGGUGAGUAACACGUGAGUAACCUGCCCUUGACUUUGGGAUAACUUCAGGAAACUGGGGCUAAUACCGGAUAGGAGCUCCUGCUGGAUGGUGGGGGUUGGAAAGUUUCGGCGGUUGGGGAUGGACUCGCGGCUUAUCAGCUUGGUGGUGGGGUAGUGGCUUACCAAGGCUUUGACGGGUAGCCGGCCUGAGAGGGUGACCGGCCACAUUGGGACCGAGAUGCGGCCCAGGCGCCUACGGGAGGCAGCAGUGGGGAAUAUUGCACAAUGGGCGGAAGCCUGAUGCAGCAGCGCCGCGUGCGGGAUGACGGCCUUCGGGUGGUAAACCGCUUUCGCCUGUGACGAAGCGUGAGUGACGGUAAUGGGUAAAGAAGCACCGGCUAACUACGUG
This 468-nucleotide ribosomal RNA is filed under the name uncultured bacterium. Its description in RNAcentral is "partial 16S ribosomal RNA". It matches the Rfam family "Bacterial small subunit ribosomal RNA", at positions 28 to 507 of the family's 1533-position model. The record is from RNAcentral.